GCAUAUCAAUAAGCGGAGGAAAAGAAACCAACAGGGAUUGCCCUAGUAACGGCGAGUGAAGCGGCAACAGCUCAAAUUUGAAAUCUGGCGCUUCCGGCGUCCGAGUUGUAAUUUGUAGAGGAUGCUUCUGGGCAGCCACCGGUCUAAGUUCCUUGGAACAGGACGUCAUAGAGGGUGAGAAUCCCGUAUGCGACCGGAGAGGCGCCCUAUACGUAGCUCCUUCGACGAGUCGAGUUGUUUGGGAAUGCAGCUCUAAAUGGGAGGUAAAUUUCUUCUAAAGCUAAAUAUUGGCCAGAGACCGAUAGCGCACAAGUAGAGUGAUCGAAAGAUGAAAAGCACUUUGGAAAGAGAGUUAAAAAGCACGUGAAAUUGUUGAAAGGGAAGGGAUUGCAACCAGACUUGCUCGCGGUGUUCCGCCGGUCUUCUGACCGGUCUACUCGCCGCGUUGCAGGCCAGCAUCGUCUGGGGCCGCCGGAUAAGACUUUGGGAAUGUAGCUCCCUCGGGAGUGUUAUAGCCCUUUGUGAUGCGGCGCGUCCCGGGCGAGGUCCGCGCUUCGGCUAGGAUGCUGGCGUAAUGGUCGUAAUCCGCCCGUCUUGAAACACGGACCAA
RNAcentral lists this ribosomal RNA (610 nucleotides) under uncultured fungus. RNAcentral describes it as "LSU rRNA". It matches the Rfam family "Eukaryotic large subunit ribosomal RNA", at positions 38 to 669 of the family's 3401-position model. The record is from RNAcentral. Lineage: Eukaryota; Fungi.